GCGGUGGGCGGUGGGCUGGGCUGGGCUGGGCUGCGGGCCCCUGCGGCUGUCCAG
Molecule: microRNA precursor, 54 nt
Filed under: Erinaceus europaeus (western European hedgehog)
Lineage: Eukaryota; Metazoa; Chordata; Mammalia; Eulipotyphla; Erinaceidae
Description: miRNA (ENSEEUG00000021168.1)
Source: RNAcentral